This is a non-coding RNA of Acanthosepion pharaonis, 100 nucleotides long. The record is from the annotation of a GenBank genome assembly. Lineage: Eukaryota; Metazoa; Mollusca; Cephalopoda; Sepiida; Sepiidae.
ACUUUGAAACACCGGUUCUCAUCAGAUCACCUAAGUUAAGGAACGUUAAGCCUGGUCAGAACCUAGCUGGGUAACUGCUUGGGAAUACCAGAUGCUGUAA